Molecule: non-coding RNA, 719 nt
Organism: Pelobates cultripes (western spadefoot toad)
Lineage: Eukaryota; Metazoa; Chordata; Amphibia; Anura; Pelobatidae
Source: the annotation of a GenBank genome assembly
GUAAGGUUGCUUAUUAUGCUCAGGGAUUGCAACAUUGUCCACCUACACAGGCUGAGAGCGUGGAUGGGAUGGAGCACAUAAAGCCCGUGGAAGGGGUGGUCAAAGAGGGGCAAGGGGAUGGAGACAGGGAAAUCAGGGUUAUAGGGGCAGGGGUAACCAAGGAGGAAUAGAUAGGAACACUUGUUUCAACUGUGGACACUAUGGCCACUGGAGGAAUGAGUGUCCACACCCCAGGAAACCCCACACACCCCAACAACCCCACCUUUCUCAAAAUAUGCCCUGUAGGCAAGAACAACACCAGACCCACUCCCAACACCACUGGCCAGCAUAUCGCUUAGUUCAGGACUUUAGAGCCCUGAAUAGUUUAAUUGUGCCCAUUUCACCCAUUGUCCCUGAUGUGACAUCCCUCAUUACAGCCAUUCCACAUGAUGCCACUUGCUUCAUUGUCAUUGAUUUAAGUAAUGCAUUUUUUCUAUACCUAUUGAUCAAGAGACACAGCUACUUAUGGUUUUUACUUUUUGAAGGCUGUCAGUUUACCUGGACACGCUUACCCAAGGCUAUGUGGAUUCCCCAGCUGUUUAUUCGUUGGUACUCCAACAUACUCUAAAAACAUGGACCACCGGUCAUGGUUCCGUCCUUUUUUGCAAAAUGUUGAUGAUUUGUUGUUAUGUAGCCCUAGCUGUGAGGCAAGCACUGUGGAUACUGUCAGCAACUGUAGG